Molecule: unclassified non-coding RNA, 228 nt
Filed under: uncultured fungus
Lineage: Eukaryota; Fungi
Description: sequence contains ITS1, 5.8S rRNA gene
Rfam family: 5.8S ribosomal RNA (bases 180-228)
Source: RNAcentral
UCUCCGUUGGUGAACCAGCGGAGGGAUCAUUACUGAGUGAGGGCCCCCGGCCCGACCUCCAACCCUUUGUGUAUCUCGACCCUGUUGCCUCGGGGGCGACCCGGCCUUCGGGCGUCGGGGCCCCCGGCGGACCUAUCAACUCUGCAUCAUUGCGUCUGAGUAAAUAUUGAAUCAAUCAAAACUUUCAACAACGGAUCUCUUGGUUCUGGCAUCGAUGAAGAACGCAGC